GACGAACGCUGGCGGCGUGCUUAACACAUGCAAGUCGAACGGAAAGGCCCUGCUUUUGUGGGGUGCUCGAGUGGCGAACGGGUGAGUAACACGUGAGUAACCUGCCCUUGACUUUGGGAUAACUUCAGGAAACUGGGGCUAAUACCGGAUAGGAGCUCCUGCUGCAUGGUGGGGGUUGGAAAGUUUCGGCGGUUGGGGAUGGACGCGCGGCUUAUCAGCUUGUUGGUGGGGUAGUGGCUUACCAAGGAUUUGACGGGUAGCCGGCCUGAGAGGGUGACCGGCCACAUUGGGACUGAGAUACGGCCCAGACUCCUACGGGAGGCAGCAGUGGGGAAUAUUGCACAAUGGGCGGAAGCCUGAUGCAGCAACGCCGCGUGCGGGAUGACGGCCUUCGGGUUGUAAACCGCUUUCGCCUGUGACGAAGCGUGAGUGACGGUAAUGGGUAAAGAAGCACCGGCUAACUACGUG
Molecule: ribosomal RNA, 468 nt
Filed under: uncultured bacterium
Lineage: Bacteria
Description: partial 16S ribosomal RNA
Rfam family: Bacterial small subunit ribosomal RNA
Source: RNAcentral